UAUUUUUUCAAAUCAACUUUAUUGAUAUAAUCUACAUACAAUAAACUACAUCCAUUGUGUUCAAGUCAAUGCAUUUUAUAGAUGUGUACACAAAUAUAAUAAAAAUACAGAACAUUUUCAUCAACCCCAAAAGCUUUUCCUUGUACCCCUUUGCUGGUCAUUACUCCCUCUGCUCCUAGCCCCCGGCAGCCACUGAUCCUUGUCACUUCACUAUGUUUACAUUUUUAGAAUUUCAUAUAAAUGCAAUCAUUCAGUAUAUAAUACUCUUUUGUGUCUGGUUUCUUUUGCUCAAAAUGAUUUUGAAAUUCAUGUUACAUAUAUCAGUAAUCCAUUCCUUUAUAUUGCUGAAAGGUAUUGUAGUAUUCAUUUAUGAAUAUACCACAUUUGUAUUAUCCAGUCACUUGAUGAUGGACAUGUGGGUUAUUUACAGUUUGAAGCUAUUUAAUGAAUAAAACAGCUAUCAACUUUAAUGUACAAGUUUUCAUGUGGACGUAAGAUUUUUUCUCUUAAAUUCAGAAUGGCUGGGUUUUAAGUUUGUUGUAUGUUUGUUUAUAAUUUGCCAAACUGUUUUACAGUGUUUGUGUCAUUUUGUAUUUAUUCUCAUUUGCCACGGUUCCAGUUGCUCCACAUCUUCCAUCUUCCAACACAGAAUGAUGUUGACCAUUUUAAUUUUAGCCUUUUUAAUGAGUGUAUAGUGUAUGUAGUAUUUUAAUGAGUGUAUAGUGUAUAGUCUUUUUAAUGAGUGUGUACUUUAAUGAGUGUGUGAGUGUUUAAUGAGUGUAUAAUGUAAUUUUAAUUUGUAUUUCUCUGAUUUCUAAUGCUGAAAGUUCUUUCUUGUCCCUAUUGGCCAUUCCAUAUCUUCUUUCAUGAAUGAUCUCUAUAUGAAUUUGCUGCCGUUUAGUAUUGGGAUAUCUGCCUUUUUACAAUUGGGUUGUAAAUUUCUUUAUAUUUUCAGAAUACAAAUCUUUUGUCAGAUAUCUACUGCAAAUAUUCUCUCAUUCUGUCUCAUCAUGUUUCCUAACAGUGCCUUUCAAAGGAAAAAUUUUAAUUUUGUUUUAUUUUUUAUUUUUCGUCUUUUGUCUUUUUGUUGUUGUUGUUGUUGUUGUUGUUGCUAUUUCUUGGGCCGCUCCCGCGGCAUAUGGAGGUUCCCAGGCUAGGGUUUGAAUCGGAGCUGUAGCCACCGGCCUACGCCAGAGCCACAGCAACGCCAGAUCCGAGCCGCGUCUGCAACCUACACCACAGCUCACGGCAACGCCGGAUCGUUAACCCACUGAGCAAGGGCAGGAACCGAACCCGCGACCUCAUGGUUCCUAGUCGGAUUCGUUAACCACUGCGCCACGACGGGAACUCCGGAAAAAUUUUAAUUUUGAUAAAUCAAACAUCACUUUUAUAGUUUAUUAUUUAUGUGUCCUAAGAAGUAUUUUCCUAUGGUCCUGGUACCAAAUAUUUUUAGGGCCACACCCACAGCACAUGUAAGCUCCCAGGCUAGGGGUCUAAUCAGAGCUGUAGCCACUGGCCUUUGCCAUAGCCAGAGCAACAUGGGAUCCUAGCACAUCUGUGACCAAUGGCAUCACAGCUAAUGGCAAUGCUGGAUCAUUUAACCCACUGAGCAAGGGCAGGGAUUGAACCUGUGUCUUCAUGGAUACUAGUCAGGUUUGUUACUGCUGAGUCACAAUGGGAACUCCCUGGUACAUUUUAAAGGGUUGUUUUGUAAUGAUAGUUAUGAUUUUGUUACGAUUAUGGACAUUUUCAGUUUUUUUCAAUUUUGAUCAAUUAUGUUUUUCUAGGAAAUCAUUUACUUUAGGUAGUAUUUUCUUCUGGUCCUCUUAAUUGACCCAAUAUCUGUGGUUGUUUUUACACAUUUGUUGAAUUUUGCUGUCUACCUUAGGAUUCUGUGGAGUAUCUAGUUUACUGAGGUUUUAUAAAAUCUUUAUUUAGGGAGUUCCUGCUAUGUGCAAGGAUCCAAAUGCAGUGGCUCCGGUUGCUGUGGAGGUGAGGAUUCUAUCCCUGGCCCCACACAGUGGGUUAAGGACCCAGCAUUGCCACAGCUGUGGCUCGCAUUUGAUCCCUGGCCCUGGAACUUCUGUAUGCCAUAGAUUCAGAAAAAAAUGUUUUAAUAGUAAAAAAUGGAUUGCUUUAUAAAUUUUGAUUCCUGAAUAAAUUUAGGUAUACUUUCAGAUGUAAGAGAAACCUAAAAUAGAAUGGUUUAUACAAAGAAAAUCUAUUUUUAUCAUAUAGCAAAAGUCUGGAAGUAACCUGCUGCUAGUGUUGAUUAAAUAUAUUAUCAGGGCAUAUCUCUGAUUCUCUUGGCUUUUCUUCCAUGGUUGAGAAAAUGCUGCCACUGCCCCAGGCAUCAUGUGCAAGGCAGGAGUAAAUUAAUGACAGCAGCUAAGUCUGCCCCUUUUCUAAAGAAAGCAAAGUUUUCUGAGAACAACCAGUGUUUUGCUCCUCCUGGCCUGAGUCAGUUCACUUGGCCACUACCAGCUUUAAAAGAUGCUAAUGGGGUAAAUAGUGAGAGAGGAGUACUGGAAUUGCUCAGUCAACCAACAUUGUCUACAGCUGUGAAAAUGGCUAUCCAUACCCAAGGGAAAAAAAAGAAUCACUUUCCCAAAAGACAUACCAAAAAACCCACAAACACUUAAAAAUCUUAUGUGAGGCUUGACCAAGACCAGUAGUUCAGAAAAUGCAAAAGAGUAAAUGGGCAUAUUUAAGCAUGUAAAAAUUAAAAUAUGAAUGGAAAAUAUCAUAUACAAAGUCGAGAGACGAGCAAUAGUUUUUUUAAAGUAGUUACUACCUUUAAUAUAUAAAAAGCUGAUGAAAAUUGAUAAGACAAUCCAAAAAGAAAAAAUAUAUCAUUCAUAAAAGCAACUUGGAGAUUACCAAAGGGGCCAAGUAAUACUUAAAGAGGCAUAUAAAUAUAUGUGAUUAAAAUAAACUUAGUUAUCAUUCUGAAAUCAUAAAACUCCUCAAGGUCAAAGUAACAUCUAUUUUUAAUAGAGGGAAGGGUACAUUUUUAUACUAAUAUUAAAAAUAUGAAAUGCUAUCUUAUUUCAGAGAAAUCUGGCAACCACUAUUAAAAUAAAAAAACACAAUCCAAUCCAUCUGUCUCCUAAAAAGUAUAUUACAGGGGGGAGAAAAAAAGCUCCAGUAGGUAAGGGCAUGAUUAUGUCUGUCUACUAGCCAUGGUGCUAUGCCACCUCUUCAAGACGGUUAUCAGACAUUUCGUCACUAGGAAAUGUGAAUAGGCAGUGGCAAAGUGGUUGAACAAAUUACGGCAUGUCCAAACCAUGGACUCUUUAGAUGGUUAAAAGUAUGACAGUGCAAAAAAAUGCAAAAAUGUGUGUAUAAUACAAUCCCAUUUUAAGACAAUGGAAAUAGUCAUAUAUAUGUGCACAGAUAACAUAUUAUUGUGUCUAUAUGUGAUUAUGAGUAAAAAGAAAAAUGUGGGGAGUUCUUCAGCAUUGCUUAUCUGUUGAUAGAUCACUGAUGGCUAGAGUUGCAAAGAGUGGAGGAAAGUACAAAAUUCAAGAGAUAAAAUGUAUUACAUUUAAAAAGUCACAUUUACACAGUUUUAUGUGUGUGCACAUGUGUGUGUUAAAAUACAUUUAGGGAGUUCCCUCGUAGGUCAGCAGGCUACAGAUGUCACUACUGUGGCUCUAGUACAGCUGUGUUGCAGGUUUGAUUCCUGUCAUGCCACAGGUGUGACAAAAGAAAUACAUUUGUUCAGGGAGUUCCAAUUGUGGUGCAGUGGAAACGAAUCUGACUGGGAAAAAUGAGGUUGUGGGUUCCAUCCCUGGCCUUGCUCAGUGGAUUAAGGAUCCGGCAUUGCUGUGAGCUGUGGUAUAGGUUGCAGAUGUGGCUCAGAUCUGGCAUUGCUGUAGCUGUGGCGUAGGUGUAGGCAGCAACAGCUCCAAUUCGACUCCUAACCUGGGAACCUCCAUAUGCCAAGGG
Molecule: long non-coding RNA, 3951 nt
Filed under: Sus scrofa (pig)
Lineage: Eukaryota; Metazoa; Chordata; Mammalia; Artiodactyla; Suidae
Description: lncRNA (ENSSSCG00000057504.1)
Source: RNAcentral